Drosophila kikkawai is the source of this 403-nucleotide long non-coding RNA. RefSeq lists it as uncharacterized. Lineage: Eukaryota; Metazoa; Arthropoda; Insecta; Diptera; Drosophilidae. The record is from RefSeq and is a predicted model, not a curated record.
GCCAAAACUGAACAGGCUGGGCUUUGAUUGUUUAAAAUAUUUAAAUUUUCAAGUAUAUAUUUAAUAAAUUAUAAAUUUAAGUUGUUACUUAUGCUGUCUUGGUGGCCAACUCUUGACGCUGCUUGCCACAGUUUUUUGCACCUUGGCAGACGAAAAUGCCUCGGCUACCCCACCUUCCAAACACACACACACAAACAAAGAAAGCGAAUAAAUGAAAAACGCAGGAAAAGCGGGCUGCUGCUGGCUGGGGAAAAUGUGCCAAAUAAAAACGGGCCAAAACAAAUUGUGGCCCAGAGAGGGAGAGCCCGUCGUUCCCCCGUCCUGCCUUAAUUCGCAGCCAAAACCAGAAAGCCACUUGGAAAUGUGUCGGUUGCAAAAAAUAAAAAAUAAAAAAAAAAGUAAA